UGCCUGUUCAAGGACACAACACUCCACUCAGAGCUCUCGUUCUCAACCCCUCUCUCUCUCUAUAAGCUUUACUCUCUCAAAGCUUCCUCAGAGUGGCAACUCUUCAAGACUGUACAAGGAACUGAAGUUACUGUACUACCCACUAUAGUUGGAGAAGUGGAGAUCACAUGCUGGGGUCCAUGUGAUGAAUCAUGGAAGGGAGUCCCAUGUUCUAAGUCCAUUAUUAUUUUCAUGUAUUGAAGGGCAGCUCCAUAAUCUCCAUAAUUUGAAGCAACUGAACAUCCAUGGUAACCAUUCUAGUGGCAUCAUCCCAAGACAAUUUCAGUCAACACCAAAUUUAUGGUUUUGGGGGAAUAGGUUCCAUCCAAGAGGCAACUUAUUCACCUUAGGAUUUCCCUUUGGAAACUGAGUCGAAUAUUAAUAGCCCACC
This is a long non-coding RNA of Vitis riparia (riverbank grape), 430 nucleotides long. RefSeq lists it as uncharacterized. NCBI's taxonomy places the organism in Eukaryota, Viridiplantae, Streptophyta, Magnoliopsida, Vitales, Vitaceae. The transcript has 5 exons. The record is from RefSeq and is a predicted model, not a curated record.